GGGUUGUGAGGUUAAGCGACUAAGCGUACACGGUGGAUGCCCUGGCAGUCAGAGGCGAUGAAGGACGUGCUAAUCUGCGAUAAGCGUCGGUAAGGUGAUAUGAACCGUUAUAACCGGCGAUUUCCGAAUGGGGAAACCCAGUGUGAUUCGUCACACUAUCAUUAACUGAAUCCAUAGGUUAAUGAGGCGAACCGGGGGAACUGAAACAUCUAAGUACCCCGAGGAAAAGAAAUCAACCGAGAUUCCCCCAGUAGCGGCGAGCGAACGGGGAGCAGCCCAGAGCCUGAAUCAGUGUGUGUGUUAGUGGAAGCGUCUGGAAAGGCGUGCGAUACAGGGUGACAGCCCCGUACACAAAAAUGCACAUACUGUGAGCUCGAUGAGUAGGGCGGGACACGUGGUAUCCUGUCUGAAUAUGGGGGGACCAUCCUCCAAGGCUAAAUACUCCUGACUGACCGAUAGUGAACCAGUACCGUGAGGGAAAGGCGAAAAGAACCCCGGCGAGGGGAGUGAAAAAGAACCUGAAACCGUGUACGUACAAGCAGUGGGAGCACGCUUAGGCGUGUGACUGCGUACCUUUUGUAUAAUGGGUCAGCGACUUAUAUUCUGUAGCAAGGUUAACCGAAUAGGGGAGCCGAAGGGAAACCGAGUCUUAACUGGGCGUUAAGUUGCAGGGUAUAGACCCGAAACCCGGUGAUCUAGCCAUGGGCAGGUUGAAGGUUGGGUAACACUAACUGGAGGACCGAACCGACUAAUGUUGAAAAAUUAGCGGAUGACUUGUGGCUGGGGGUGAAAGGCCAAUCAAACCGGGAGAUAGCUGGUUCUCCCCGAAAGCUAUUUAGGUAGCGCCUCGUGAAUUCAUCUCCGGGGGUAGAGCACUGUUUCGGCAAGGGGGUCAUCCCGACUUACCAACCCGAUGCAAACUGCGAAUACCGGAGAAUGUUAUCACGGGAGACACACGGCGGGUGCUAACGUCCGUCGUGAAGAGGGAAACAACCCAGACCGCCAGCUAAGGUCCCAAAGUCAUGGUUAAGUGGGAAACGAUGUGGGAAGGCCCAGACAGCUAGGAUGUUGGCUUAGAAGCAGCCAUCAUUUAAAGAAAGCGUAAUAGCUCACUGGUCGAGUCGGCCUGCGCGGAAGAUGUAACGGGGCUAAACCAUGCACCGAAGCUGCGGCAGCGACGCUUAUGCGUUGUUGGGUAGGGGAGCGUUCUGUAAGCCUGUGAAGGUGUGCUGUGAGGUAUGCUGGAGGUAUCAGAAGUGCGAAUGCUGACAUAAGUAACGAUAAAGCGGGUGAAAAGCCCGCUCGCCGGAAGACCAAGGGUUCCUGUCCAACGUUAAUCGGGGCAGGGUGAGUCGACCCCUAAGGCGAGGCCGAAAGGCGUAGUCGAUGGGAAACAGGUUAAUAUUCCUGUACUUGGUGUUACUGCGAAGGGGGGACGGAGAAGGCUAUGUUGGCCGGGCGACGGUUGUCCCGGUUUAAGCGUGUAGGCUGGUUUUCCAGGCAAAUCCGGAAAAUCAAGGCCGAGGCGUGAUGACGAGGCACUACGGUGCUGAAGCAACAAAUGCCCUGCUUCCAGGAAAAGCCUCUAAGCAUCAGGUAACAUCAAAUCGUACCCCAAACCGACACAGGUGGUCAGGUAGAGAAUACCAAGGCGCUUGAGAGAACUCGGGUGAAGGAACUAGGCAAAAUGGUGCCGUAACUUCGGGAGAAGGCACGCUGAUACGUAGGUGAAGCGACUUGCUCGUGGAGCUGAAAUCAGUCGAAGAUACCAGCUGGCUGCAACUGUUUAUUAAAAACACAGCACUGUGCAAACACGAAAGUGGACGUAUACGGUGUGACGCCUGCCCGGUGCCGGAAGGUUAAUUGAUGGGGUUAGCGCAAGCGAAGCUCUUGAUCGAAGCCCCGGUAAACGGCGGCCGUAACUAUAACGGUCCUAAGGUAGCGAAAUUCCUUGUCGGGUAAGUUCCGACCUGCACGAAUGGCGUAAUGAUGGCCAGGCUGUCUCCACCCGAGACUCAGUGAAAUUGAACUCGCUGUGAAGAUGCAGUGUACCCGCGGCAAGACGGAAAGACCCCGUGAACCUUUACUAUAGCUUGACACUGAACAUUGAGCCUUGAUGUGUAGGAUAGGUGGGAGGCUUUGAAGUGUGGACGCCAGUCUGCAUGGAGCCGACCUUGAAAUACCACCCUUUAAUGUUUGAUGUUCUAACGUGGACCCGUGAUCCGGGUUGCGGACAGUGUCUGGUGGGUAGUUUGACUGGGGCGGUCUCCUCCUAAAGAGUAACGGAGGAGCACGAAGGUUGGCUAAUCCUGGUCGGACAUCAGGAGGUUAGUGCAAUGGCAUAAGCCAGCUUGACUGCGAGCGUGACGGCGCGAGCAGGUGCGAAAGCAGGUCAUAGUGAUCCGGUGGUUCUGAAUGGAAGGGCCAUCGCUCAACGGAUAAAAGGUACUCCGGGGAUAACAGGCUGAUACCGCCCAAGAGUUCAUAUCGACGGCGGUGUUUGGCACCUCGAUGUCGGCUCAUCACAUCCUGGGGCUGAAGUAGGUCCCAAGGGUAUGGCUGUUCGCCAUUUAAAGUGGUACGCGAGCUGGGUUUAGAACGUCGUGAGACAGUUCGGUCCCUAUCUGCCGUGGGCGCUGGAGAACUGAGGGGGGCUGCUCCUAGUACGAGAGGACCGGAGUGGACGCAUCACUGGUGUUCGGGUUGUCAUGCCAAUGGCACUGCCCGGUAGCUAAAUGCGGAAGAGAUAAGUGCUGAAAGCAUCUAAGCACGAAACUUGCCCCGAGAUGAGUUCUCCCUGACCCUUUAAGGGUCCUGAAGGAACGUUGAAGACGACGACGUUGAUAGGCCGGGUGUGUAAGCGCAGCGAUGCGUUGAGCUAACCGGUACUAAUGAACCGUGAGGCUUAACCUUACAACGCCGAAG
RNAcentral lists this ribosomal RNA (2925 nucleotides) under Shigella flexneri 4c. RNAcentral's name for it is "bacterial LSU rRNA". It matches the Rfam family "Bacterial large subunit ribosomal RNA". Lineage: Bacteria; Pseudomonadati; Pseudomonadota; Gammaproteobacteria; Enterobacterales; Enterobacteriaceae. The record is from RNAcentral.